This 465-nucleotide ribosomal RNA is filed under the name Vreelandella stevensii. RNAcentral's name for it is "partial 16S ribosomal RNA". It matches the Rfam family "Bacterial small subunit ribosomal RNA", at positions 338 to 795 of the family's 1533-position model. Lineage: Bacteria; Pseudomonadati; Pseudomonadota; Gammaproteobacteria; Oceanospirillales; Halomonadaceae. The record is from RNAcentral.
CCUACGGGAGGCUGCAGUGGGGAAUAUUGGACAAUGGGGGGAACCCUGAUCCAGCCAUGCCGCGUGUGUGAAGAAGGCCCUCGGGUUGUAAAGCACUUUCAGUGAGGAAGAACGCCUGGUGGUUAAUACCCAUCAGGAAAGACAUCACUCACAGAAGAAGCACCGGCUAACUCCGUGCCAGCAGCCGCGGUAAUACGGAGGGUGCGAGCGUUAAUCGGAAUUACUGGGCGUAAAGCGCGCGUAGGUGGCUUGAUAAGCCGGUUGUGAAAGCCCCGGGCUCAACCUGGGAACGGCAUCCGGAACUGUCAAGCUAGAGUGCAGGAGAGGAAGGUAGAAUUCCCGGUGUAGCGGUGAAAGGCGUAGAGAUCGGGAGGAAUACCAGUGGCGAAGGCGGCCUUCUGGACUGACACUGACACUGAGGUGCGAAAGCGUGGGUAGCAAACAGGAUUAGAUACCCUGGUAGUC